CCCUUAGACACUCUAGGCGGCACGCGCGCUACAAUGGGUGGACGAACGUGUUACUGCCUCCGAAAGGAGGGGUGAAUCACGAAUUCUUGCCCGUGAAUGGGAUAGUUUGUUGCAAUUUUCGGACUUGAACUAGGAAUCCCUUGUAAACAUGCUCAAGAAUAGCGUGUUGAAUACGUCCCUGCCGUUUGUACACACCGCCCGUCGUUUCUUCCGACUGAUACUCAUUGUGAGUUGCAAGGACCCUUUAUUGGGAAAUUGCUGCAAAUGCUUUGUAUUGGAGGAAGAAAAAGUCGUAACA
Molecule: ribosomal RNA, 298 nt
Filed under: uncultured eukaryote
Lineage: Eukaryota
Description: partial 18S ribosomal RNA
Rfam family: Eukaryotic small subunit ribosomal RNA
Source: RNAcentral